CGAACGGGUGAGUAACACGUGGGCAACCUGCCCAAAAGAGGGGGAUAACACUUGGAAACAGGUGCUAAUACCGCAUAACCAUAGUUACCGCAUGGUAACUAUGUAAAAGGUGGCUAUGCUACCGCUUUUGGAUGGGCCCGCGGCGCAUUAGCUAGUUGGUGGGGUAAAGGCUUACCAAGGCGAUGAUGCGUAGCCGAACUGAGAGGUUGAUCGGCCACAUUGGGACUGAGACACGGCCCAAACUCCUACGGAAGGCAGCAG
Molecule: ribosomal RNA, 261 nt
Filed under: uncultured bacterium
Lineage: Bacteria
Description: partial 16S ribosomal RNA
Rfam family: Bacterial small subunit ribosomal RNA
Source: RNAcentral